AACGAACGCUGGCGGCAUGCCUAACACAUGCAAGUCGAACGAGACCUUCGGGUCUAGUGGCGCACGGGUGCGUAACGCGUGGGAACCUGCCCUUAGGUUCGGAAUAACUCCCCGAAAGGGGUGCUAAUACCGGAUAAUGUCUUCGGACCAAAGAUUUAUCGCCUUUGGAUGGGCCCGCGUUGGAUUAGCUAGUUGGUAAGGUAAAAGCCUACCAAGGCGACGAUCCAUAGCUGGUCUGAGAGGAUGAUCAGCCACACUGGGACUGAGACACGGCCCAGACUCCUACGGGAGGCAGCAGUGGGGAAUAUUGGACAAUGGGCGAAAGCCUGAUCCAGCAAUGCCGCGCGAGUGAUGAAGGCCUUAGGGUUGUAAAGCUCUUUUACCCGGGAUGAUAAUGACAGUACCGGGAGAAUAAGCUCCGGCUAACUCCGUG
This 433-nucleotide ribosomal RNA is filed under the name uncultured bacterium. Its description in RNAcentral is "partial 16S ribosomal RNA". It matches the Rfam family "Bacterial small subunit ribosomal RNA", at positions 29 to 507 of the family's 1533-position model. The record is from RNAcentral.